CAAAAUGUCUGACAUACAUGACCUAAAGGAGGAAGGAUUUAUUCUGACUCAUGGUCAUGGAGUCAGUCCAUGGUUGGCUGGCUCCAGGGCAGAAAUAUUAUGCCCGAAGGGUGUGGCGUGGGAAAGCUGUUUUCCCGGCUACAGCUGGGAGCAGAAGGCAGAAGAGCCAAAGAUGAAGCGGGCAGGAAUCAGACAUAGUCCCCAAGGUGAGGGCUUCAGGACCCACCAGACUGCUUCACCCAUCUCUUCUGACUCCUCCAAGCCAGUCAAGAUUCUGCCCGGAUGCCUGUCCUCCCUCUCUGUUCCUGAGCCCAUCAACAAAAGGCCUUUCAUCACUCAGCUCAGAGGUGCUCACUCCUGGGGUCCACUCUGUGCCUGACACCCCCAGCUCCUCAGGGCUCUGCAGAGUGACGUCUGGGGGCUCGGGGCACACUUACCUCCCUCUGCUCUGCUCCUACCCCACCAUCCAGCCCACGGUCCUGCCUCGCCCUGCAGAUGUCCCACCUCCUGCCUGUGUCGCCACACCAGGACCUCAGCAGUGGACAGCCUGUCUGCCUGUCCCCUGGGCUGUCCCAGCCACACCCAAGGGUCGGCACAGAGGAGGAACAGACCUUUGCCAUUCUCGGGGCCUGGGAAUUACACAAGUGCUGCCUUCUUACUCAACUUAAACACACGGAGGGUGUUUAUCCAGGAUGUGUGGAUGAUUUUUGUUUCUUGGUGGUUUUGAGGGGAAGGGUGGAUAUUUUCUUUGUUCUUAAGUAUGCAAAAAUUAUUUCUCCAUCCCUGGUAUUUCAGUUGGAAAAUACAUUUGAAAGGAAUGACUUGUGGGCUCGGGGUGCAGGUCAUGGGCAAAGCUGUGGGUUCCAUCCCAGUGUUGAAACAAGAAGGAAGAGAGGGAGGGAGGGAGGGAGGGAAGGAGGGAAAGAUUUAAUAUGUGUAGUCAUAGUUACGUAGAUAUAAAAAUCACGCCUUAUCCAUAAACAGCAUGCCAUUUUGAGUUGAAUUCACACUUAAAAUACAGACUUUUCUUUUUUCAAAUCAGGAAAGGUCCAGGUGUGUGGAGUAGCAUAGUCUCAUUUCCGAGCUCCCAGAACCCAGUUUUAUGACUUGGGUUGACUUAAUGCAAUAAAACAAAAUUAAGCACUGCUUGAUUGCUGUUUUUGUCCCAGUGCUGGGGAUGGAACCCAGGGGAUCACACGCACUAGGCAAGGGUCCCCCACCGAGCUACACCCCGGCCUACAAUUCCCUUAAACUGUUGGAGGUUUUUUUGAUUUUUUAAAUGGCAAUUAACAAAUGACAAAUGACAAUAGGCUGCUACAAAUAUGACUUUAUACUGAAAACAUUGUUUCUAAGAAUCGUGUAAAUAUUUUUUCAAAUUAAAACAAACUAGAGGGGUUUAUGUGCAAGUCAUUCAGUGGAAAACCUCUCAGAUGUGUGCUUUGACAUUUGUCGCUGAGGGGAAGCCUGGGUUUUCUUAGUUUUCUAAGAGAAAACUAGCUUUCUCCUCGUGUUGUCCACUUCCUGCAGGCUGAGGACAUGACUGUGUGGCAUGAAUCCUAGGGUUUGUCCAAAGGCCCCUCCCGUACUCUGAGUGGACGACAGGGAACUGGAAGCUCCAUUCUCCCACGCAGGAGAUUCAAUUUCUGUUAUAGAUUCCACUAGAAAAAUAACAACCAGCAUAUUCAUUAAGCUCUUCUUUGCUUCCUUAACUGUAUUUUCAUAUUUUUAUCCAACGUCUACCAGCGAUCUAGGCGUCUCGGUCAUCACCGAUUUCACGUCAUCCAUAUGACAUUCUACUUUUGUCCCCUGGCCAGGAUGAGACACACAGGACAUGUCCACAGACAGAUGCGCUCCUCACAGGCCCUGCUGUGACUUCUGAGCAGUUAUUUCCUAAUUCAAAGUGUGUUUUAUAGGUGGCCAAGUGUUACGACAUAGCACAGCGCCUGUGUGGAGUGCAGAAUAGCAUGCAUUGCUUGGGCAUAGUUCUUGCCUGAGCUGCUGUUUCUGGGAAUGCUUUACCUAUUUUGAGACUCGUACUUUCCCGGGCGCUUUUUGCUGUACAUGGAGAACACAUCCCCACAGAGGAGCCAAGCCAGCCAAGAGCCACUCCAUGUGGAACCUGGAAACGAACCCUGAAGCUACCCACCCUGGGCAGCUUGUCAACCCGUUUUCCUGACGUCAGUGUGGACAUCCUCUUGAAAAAGAUUUCUACUUAGAAUUAACUUAAAAGCGAGGCUCAUUUGCUUGAGUUUUACGUGACAAAAAUAACUUGUCAGUAUAUGUGUAUAUGAGUAAGAAUGAUUAUAGUUUGUAUUGGCAAUUGACGUACUGUACCAAUCAAUCCUCUUGCAUUAUCUCAAUUAAUCUUGGCAACUAUUGCACCUAUUUUAAAAUGACAAAUCAGGUGCCCUGUAACCUUCCUUGACUUAAGUUACCCAGCUGUCCGAUAGUGGAGCUGCCGUUUAAACCCAGGCAGCCUGAUUUUAGAACCUACCCCAUUCUGUCUUUUGCUAUGUAUUUGUGCAUGUGUGUGGAUAUAUACAUACACAUGCAUAUAUACACAUACACAUAAAUACACACGUGUCAUAUAAGCAUGCAUAUACUUAUUAAUAAAUGUGUAAAUGCUCAGAAAAAUCUUCUGGAAAGAUUUAAUUCUCCUCAACCGUGCGCUCUUGGGAGAGGCAUUUGAAAUUAGGAUCAAUGCUUACAUUAAUUCCACACAUUUCUCUAAUCAUUUUAAUCCCCAAAACAAACAUGCAUUAUUCUUGUAUUUUAAAAAGUAAGUUAUUGAUUUUGCUGUCUGUGUCCCCCUGGAAAUGCUUGCUGAAUAAUUGAAGAGCAAGUCAUAAAAUCUGGUAGAGACAAAACAGUUCACAGAGCCAGGGAUGUAGCUCAGUUGUUUUGCCGCCUGCUGCGCAAGCGCAAAGAUCCGAGUUUGAUCCCCGGUACCA
Heterocephalus glaber (naked mole-rat) is the source of this 2951-nucleotide long non-coding RNA. NCBI's taxonomy places the organism in Eukaryota, Metazoa, Chordata, Mammalia, Rodentia, Bathyergidae. The record is from Ensembl.